GGACUACUUCCUGUAAACACACAGUCCAGUUCAAAGUGAAUGAGGUCAGGGUCUACUUCCUGUAAACACACAGUCCAGUUCAAAGUGAAUGAGGUCAGGGUCUACUUCCUGUAAACACACAGUCCAGUUCAAAGUGAAUGAGGUCAGGGUCUACUUCCUGUAAACACACAGUCCAGUUCAAAGUGAAUGAGGUCAGGGUCUACUUCCUGUAAACACACAGUCCAGUUCAAAGUGAAUGAGGUCAGGGUCUACUUCCUGUAAACACACACAGUCCAGUUCAAAGUGAAUGAGGUCAGGGUCUACUUCCUGUAAACACACAGUCCAGUUCAAAGUGAAUGAGGUCAGGGUCUACUUCCUGUAAACACACAGUCCAGUUCAAAGUGAAUGAGGUCAGGGUCUACUUCCUGUAAACACACAGUCCAGUUCAGUGAAUGAUGGAAGGUCUGUGUGGCAAAUGGCUUGUUUAUAUACUGGGAAAAGUAUAUAAACACAACAUGCAACAGUACAUAUAAGGAAAUCAGUCGAUUAAAUACAAUUCAUUAGGCCCUAAGCUACGGGAUUUCACACGACUAGGUAGGGUUUCAGCCAUGGGUGGGCCUUGGAGGGCAUAGGCCCACCGACUUGGCAGCCAGGCCCAUCCACUGGGGAGCCAGGCCCAGCCAAUCAGAAUGAGUUUGGUUUCCCCCUCGGUCUUGGACAAGACAGAUAUUUUGAUUAGGUUUUAUUUACUGCAGUGUCUAUUAGUUGUCUAUUAAACGCACUGCCACUUUCACACUCUAUAUUGCUAUAGAAUUUUCACAUUGCCUUAGUAUACCCUUCCAGCCAUUACAAUGAGCCUGUCCUCCUGUACCUCCGCCCACCAGCCUCCGCUGAUAUCCCGCUGCAUCCAGCCUGAUCUCAGAUCUGUGCUUCUACACCUGCAUUGCUUGCUGUUUGGGGUUUUAGGCUGGGUUUCUGUACAGCACUUUGAGAUAUCAGCUGAUGUACGAAGGGCUAUAUAAAUACAUUUGAUUUGAUUUGAUUUGUGCUGUCUUGCCAGAUAGACUGCAAUAAGAUCUAGGUUCAGGCUAAUAUGGUCUCGACCUUUGAACUCUAAACGUACUUCCAUUGUAUUUUCUUAUUUAGAGCACCUUUUUUGAAACUCUGCCUUUGGGUAACUGAAUGAUCACAA
Oncorhynchus keta (chum salmon) is the source of this 1171-nucleotide long non-coding RNA. RefSeq lists it as uncharacterized. The record is from RefSeq and is a predicted model, not a curated record. NCBI's taxonomy places the organism in Eukaryota, Metazoa, Chordata, Actinopteri, Salmoniformes, Salmonidae. The transcript has 3 exons.